RNAcentral lists this ribosomal RNA (460 nucleotides) under uncultured bacterium. RNAcentral describes it as "partial 16S ribosomal RNA". It matches the Rfam family "Bacterial small subunit ribosomal RNA", at positions 338 to 795 of the family's 1533-position model. The record is from RNAcentral.
CCUACGGGUGGCAGCAGUGAGGAAUAUUGGUCAAUGGGCGCGAGCCUGAACCAGCCAAGUAGCGUGAAGGAUGACUGCCCUACGGGUUGUAAACUUCUUUUAUAAAGGAAUAAAGUGAGGCACGUGUGCCUUUUUGUAUGUCCUUUAUGAAUAAGGAACGGCUAACUCCGUGUCAGCAGCCGCGGUAAUACGGAGGAUCCGAGCGUUAUCCGGAUUUAUUGGGUUUAAAGGGAGCGUUGAGGGGUUGUUAAGUCAGUUGUGAAAGUUUGCGGCUCAAACGGAAAACUGCAAUUGAUACUGGCAGCCUUGAGUACAGUUGAGGUAGGCGGAAUGCGUGGUGUAGCGGUGAAAUGCUUAGAUAUCACGAAGAACUCCGAUUGCGAAGGCAGCCUACUAAACUGCCACUGACAUUGAGGCUCGAAAGUGUGGGUAUCAAACAGGAUUAGAUACCCCGGUAGUC